This 555-nucleotide ribosomal RNA is filed under the name Caenocholax fenyesi mexicanum. RNAcentral's name for it is "partial 28S ribosomal RNA". The record is from RNAcentral. Lineage: Eukaryota; Metazoa; Arthropoda; Insecta; Strepsiptera; Myrmecolacidae.
UUGUAAUCGAAUCGAGAUUCAGUGAGUGAAUUUAUUUUUAAUGAAUUUGGAAAUAAUUUAUUAUUUUUAUUUCGUUGGAAUGAAAUUUUGCUUAUGCAUUUCUUGAUUCGAUGUGAAUUCGCGAAUCGUUUGCAAUAAAACGAGCCAUCGAUGACUGAUUUUGUGCCGACUUAGUGUGUAAAAGCACGUUUGUGUCGCGUUUUGAGUGUUACAGUUUUUUUUUAUCUUUUUCGGAAGUGAAAAAAAAUUGUAAAUUAUCCGCUCGUUAUGCGAAUAGUUGGUCCAGUUCCUGUUUCGGUUCGAUUUUGUUUGGUAGACGAUUAAGUAUUAGUUAUUGAUUCUUUGACACGAUUAUAAGAAUCGAAAAUUAAUUUUUUCGAGCGAAGCGCAAAGGCUUGUUUUUUCGUCUCGAAUUCGAAAAAAAUAUGUUUUUGUUUCAAUACGAAAUGUGUGUGUGCGUUUUUAACGUUGUGCACGUUUUAUGUUUUAGCCGAAAUGUAUUUUUUUUUGNUUUUGUUGACAAAAAAUUGCCGAUUGGAAACGAUCUCAUACAGG